UUUUACCUACGGGAGGCAGCAGUGGGGGAUAUUGCACAAUGGGGGAAACCCUGAUGCAGCGACGCCGCGUGUGGGAAGACGGUCCUCUGGAUUGUAAACCACUGUCCCCAGGGACGAAGUAAGUGACGGUACCUGAGGAAUAAGCCACGGCUAACUACGUGCCAGCAGCCGCGGUAAUACGUAGGGGGCAAGCGUUAUCCGGAUUUACUGGGUGUAAAGGGGGCGCAGACGGCGAUGCAAGCCAGGAGUGAAAGCCCGGGGCCCAACCCCGGGACUGCUCUUGGAACUGCGUGGCUGGAGUGCAG
This 305-nucleotide ribosomal RNA is filed under the name uncultured bacterium. Its description in RNAcentral is "bacterial SSU rRNA". It matches the Rfam family "Bacterial small subunit ribosomal RNA", at positions 333 to 651 of the family's 1533-position model. The record is from RNAcentral.